ACAUGCAAGUCGCACGAGAAAGUCCCCUUCGGGGGAUGAGUAAAGUGGCGCACGGGUGAGGAACGCGUAGGUAAUCUACCCUCAGGCGGGGGACAACACUCCGAAAGGAAUGCUAAUACCGCGUAAGACCACACUUACUAAGGUGAGAGUGGUAAAAGAUGGCCUCUUCUUGAAAGCUAUCACCAGAGGAUGAGCCUGCGUCCCAUCAGCUUGUUGGUAAGGUAACGGCUUACCUAGGCGAAGACGGGUAGCUGGUCUGAGAGGAUGAUCAGCCACACUGGCACUGGAACACGGGCCAGACUCCUACGGGAGGCAGCAGUGAGGAAUAUUGGGCAAUGGGCGCAAGCCUGACCCAGCCACGCCGCGUGUGUGAUGAAGGCCUUCGGGUCGUAAAGCACUGUGGGGAGGGACGAAAAAUCUCCGUUCGAAUAGGGCGGAGGCUUGACGGUACCUCCUUAGCAAGCACCGGCUAACUCUGUG
This 480-nucleotide ribosomal RNA is filed under the name uncultured bacterium. RNAcentral's name for it is "bacterial SSU rRNA". It matches the Rfam family "Bacterial small subunit ribosomal RNA", at positions 53 to 507 of the family's 1533-position model. The record is from RNAcentral.